AGCGGGAGAGUAACAAGCUAAAUGCCCGAACAAAAAUAAACAUUGGCCCGGCGUUCACUCGCUACAAGCCCUUGUAGCCGUCGUCUUGGACAAGAGAUGGUUGAAGGAUGUAAAGACGUUCAUCACCUCCAGGACUACAUCAGAUCUGGAAAACUUCCAGAAUCACAUCCUCAUGCAGGGAAGGUUCUCCUACACUCCAGCAGUGAAUCAUCAGGGAAGGUUCUCCUACUCCAGCAGUGAAUCAUCAGG
Cololabis saira (Pacific saury) is the source of this 249-nucleotide long non-coding RNA. RefSeq lists it as uncharacterized. The record is from RefSeq and is a predicted model, not a curated record. The transcript has 3 exons. NCBI's taxonomy places the organism in Eukaryota, Metazoa, Chordata, Actinopteri, Beloniformes, Belonidae.